AGCAAAAGAAGACGAAAUACCGAACCUUUCUGUCUCUAUCUCUGCUUUCCUUUGUUCUUACUCAUUCAUUCCGUUUUGCAACUUACCAACCACUUCCUUGUGACGUGUUUCAUUCAUCUCUCAUGGGACUGAACUCUCUCACCAAGUGAUGUUCACUCACUACUUAUUUGAUGAUUCUAUUCUAUCCCAUUUUUUGAGUUUUAUAUGGCCAAUUCGCAUUCUUAGUGCUACAUGACCAUGAAAAAAAAAACACACCUACUCUAGACACUUUAUUCAAUUUGGCUUGAACUGCAAAUGCCUGGGAUGACCAUGUCCCGUGUUUCAUGCUGUUAUUAAAUAGAUUUUCUUGAUUGAAUAGAACGAUUCUUAUACCACAUCCUUUUUGUGCUGAAAUUAGUAGCAGAUGAUAUUCCCUUGAUUCUUGAACUUAUUAUUGAGAGUGCAACAUAGAAGAGUUCAGUUGAGUUGGUGUGGAACAUGAUGAAUGAAAGGAAAUUGAACAUUGAUGCUCCUCUUAUGUCGGUGAGGCGCUCUUUUGGUACAUCACCUUCCUUAACUGAAGCAAAUAGAAAGAUAUUAGAGAAGCCACAAACACUUCCACACUACAAAUCAGACACCACUUUGGAUCAGGUAACAGAACCUGUUGCAGUGCCUUUCAAUUGGGAGCAUAUCCCUGGAAGGUCAAAGGAUUAUGAUGGAUCAGAACCUCAACUUCCUACAAAGGCUUCAAUUACCCCAACUCUCCCCCCUGGAAAAUCCACAAAUGUAGCCAAACAAUCAUUGGAAAAGGAACCUAAUGUUGCAAAUAACUUUAGGCCCCCAAGCAUAUCAAAUUCUUUAAGUGAGAAAAUAGAUUGCAACAAAGAACAUAAAGAUGAGAAAAUGAAAAAGGUGGAAGAGAAUGAUGACUAUGAUGAUGAUGGUGAUGUUUAUUCUGAUGCACUUGAAACACUGUCACCUACAGAGCCUUUGUCUAUGAACUGUAGUGUGAGUGAUGUGAGUGGCUUAGAUAAUGUGGUUGCGGAUAUGUGUGGAGCCUCUUCUACUGAUAAACAAGCUCAUGAUUUCAUGAUGAGCAGGUUUUUAACUGCAGCAAAGGCUAUGACUAUACAGCCUCCUCAAUAUGCUUCUUCUAGAAAGCAAACUGUUCUGACUGAACAACCUAGGGAAUUUAUCAAAUUGGUUCCUGAACAAAAGAAGUCAUUUGUUAGUAGACAUAUCACUGACAUUGUACCAUAUACUGGUCAAUGUCAAGAAGAGGAAGAAGAAGAGGAGGAAAGUGACAAUGAAACUAAUGAUUAUGCAAAUAAUUCAGCUAAAGGUUGCGGAUUAUUUCCCCGCUUAUGUGUUAGAAAUUCAUUGUGCUUAUUAAAUCCAGUGCCUGGGACGAAAAUGGGGAAUCAGUUUCCCUUGUAUUCUGCCUAUGAGGUUGGAAAACCUGAUAAAAGUUCUCAUAUUCGCUCGCAUAGACCAGCUCCAUCUAUAAAGAAGGCUUGGGAUGCUAUUAAUAAGAGCAAAUCAAGCUCUAGAGCUGCAUCACCAGACAAGCAGGAUGUAAGAAAAAAAUGGACUAGUGAAUCAAGCAGGUAUACCUACUCAGGUGAAUUGAAGAAGCUAGGUAGGCUCUCUCCCUUUCGUCGUUCAAGAGCUGCUUCUGCUGGCGUAUCUCCUUUUCAAAGUAAACCUCAACCUCCCUUUCCUGGAGCAAAGUUGCUUGGUGAUUCCAAACAAGAUGAUAAUAAUCAUUCUGGCAAAUUGAAAUUCCCGAGUAGAGGGCAUUCAAGUAUUCAAGAGGUGCUAUCACAAGGAGCAAAAAGAAGCUAUAGCUUUGGGAGCCUUACUGUUGAAAAGACAUUGUACAUAGAUACUGCAAGUACAAUAAAAUCAUCAUGCUCUAGUUCGCAUUCUUUAGGUAACACAAUAGUGGUAGGAAAAGACAGAACUUUCCUACUAGAUUCUUUUCGAGAUAUGAAGCACCUAGAAGCUUUGGAGGAGAAUUUGGAUUCCCAAGUGUUGAAUCCUGUGGAUGCCAAUUCUCCAACUUUGUCUAGCAUGUUACAUCUCAUGGCCAAAGAAGAUAAAGCUGAAAGAUUGGCAGCUGAUCAAGAAAUUAAUCAAGAGUCCAUGUCCUUGCAACUUGUGCCAAGUUCAUUUGACAAAGAUGCAGAGAUAAGCAAGCAGCAAAUUGUAGUGGUUGAUGAUUCAGGAAAAGUUGGCAAUGAAUAUGUUCUACAUCCUCUGGCCCCACCAUUGCCAAAGUCACCUUCUGAAUCCUGGCUUUGUCGUGCCCUGCCUCUAGUUUCUUCUAAGAAUUCAUUCCCACUUUCAAAUCAAGGUACACAUUCCCAGGCUAAAAGGCAGGGUUUUAGUAGAGCAUCAAGCUAUACUAAGUGGGAAACAAUAGUGAAAUCUUCGAAUUUGAAUCAUGAUCAUGUAACCUGUUCUAAGGAACUAGUCGUGUAUAAAUCUCAGCAUAUGAAAUCAUAGAGAUGGAAUUCGGGAAUGUAUAUCAUGUUAUGGUCCAAGCUUUUUAUGUCCUUUAUUUUUUUUCAGGCUUAUGGGAUUUAGUUCUCCUUCUAUUGGUUUUUGGCAUGACAGCAUAGUAUUUUACAGAGAGGAAUCGAUAUAAUUUUUGGUGAUCAAUAAAAACAAUGAAGCUUCUUUGAACUAGUGGUACUUUCGGUGGACUGAAAAUUACAGAAGCUACCCCCAGAGAAGUGCAUAUGCACUACUAUUGUUUGCCUUUUCACCUUGUUGGUACUUCCUGACAGCUUGCUAAUUAAGGGAAACGAAUCUUCUGUUUCAUCAUAUGCAGCUAAUCUUUAAGUAUCGACAUUUUAUACAUAUGAAUGUAUAUAUAAACGACAUUACUAAUUACUGUUAUUCAUGCAUAAUUUUUUCUUCUUUUAUAUACAUUAUUACAAACAGAAAUUCUUCUUGA
Glycine soja is the source of this 2941-nucleotide RNA transcript. RefSeq lists it as uncharacterized. The transcript is spliced from 5 exons. The record is from RefSeq and is a predicted model, not a curated record. NCBI's taxonomy places the organism in Eukaryota, Viridiplantae, Streptophyta, Magnoliopsida, Fabales, Fabaceae.